GAUGAACGCUGGCGGCGUGCUUAACACAUGCAAGUCGAACGAUGAAGCCCAGCUUGCUGGGUGGAUUAGUGGCGAACGGGUGAGUAACACGUGAGUAACCUGCCCUUAACUCUGGGAUAAGCCUGGGAAACUAGGUCUAAUACCGGAUAGGAGCGCCUACCGCAUGGUGGGUGUUGGAAAGAUUUAUCGGUUUUGGAUGGACUCGCGGCCUAUCAGCUUGUUGGUGAGGUAAUGGCUCACCAAGGCGACGACGGGUAGCCGGCCUGAGAGGGUGACCGGCCACACUGGGACUGAGACACGGCCCAGACUCCUACGGGAGGCAGCAGUGGGGAAUAUUGCACAAUGGGCGAAAGCCUGAUGCAGCGACGCCGCGUGAGGGAUGACGGCCUUCGGGUUGUAAACCUCUUUCAGUAGGGAAGAAGCGAAAGUGACGGUACCUGCAGAAGAAGCACCGGCUAACUACGUG
This 466-nucleotide ribosomal RNA is filed under the name uncultured bacterium. RNAcentral's name for it is "partial 16S ribosomal RNA". It matches the Rfam family "Bacterial small subunit ribosomal RNA", at positions 28 to 507 of the family's 1533-position model. The record is from RNAcentral.